GGGCCCGUAGCUCAGCAAGGCAGAGCGGCGGAGGUCAGACCCGUAGGGCGGGGGUUCAGGCAAAGCCGCCCAAAAAUCCCUCCGGGCCCACCA
RNAcentral lists this transfer RNA (93 nucleotides) under Thermoproteus sp. RNAcentral's name for it is "tRNA-Sec". Lineage: Archaea; Thermoproteati; Thermoproteota; Thermoprotei; Thermoproteales; Thermoproteaceae. The record is from RNAcentral.